AUGGAUCCGCUGGACUAUCUCUGCAUCAGGUUUCAUUUCAGAGGACAGUUUGAACAUGAUGGAACAGAGUGGCAGUAUGUGAAUGGAAGUCAAGGCCUUUCAACAGUACAGCACCACAAAAUUAGCCUUGAAGAACUGAAGAAAAAACUUGCAGAGCAUGUGCCUUGUUCAGAUAAGCAACUGCAGGAAACAAAUUUACAUUGGAAGUUCCCUGGGAUGAUUAGAGAUGGCCAAAUGAAUAGUGCCCUGGUGAUGUUGCAUGACAAAAAAUCUGUCCUGGAGAUGGCCAAACAUGUCACUGAUGCAGGGGUCAUGGACAUUUAUGCUAACAUUCCUGAUGAUUUUGUAGCACAAGAAGCUAGUGAAUGGGAGGAAGAAUAUGCAGUAGAUAUAGGGGAAGGUAGUUGUGAUGUUGAUUCAGAGGAGGAGAUGCACCAAGUGCCAGAACAGGAGCAGCAGCAAGUUUCAGAGGAUAAUAGACAACAGGAAAGACAGGAGAUGCAUCAAAUGGCAUAUAAUUUAGAGGAGGAGGAGAUGCACCAAGUGCCAGAACAGGAGCAGCGGCAAGAACACCAACCAGAUUGGCAGUGGUCAAACAAUUUCUACCAGUCAGCCAGUAAUCGUAAGUUACCAGUUAACAAAGGUCCCAUACAAAAUCAUGACAGAGGAAAAUCAGUUCAAAAUGAGGAUAGUGGUAUUGAUAGUUCAACAUCUGAUAGUGACUAUGUUGUCCCUCCAGCAGAGAGUAAUAGUUCAGCAUCUGAUGAUGAAGUGUUGGAGUUGAGAAAAUAUGCAAAAGAGUUGAAGCAGAAAGUGAGAAAGAAGAUGCUGAGAGAAGAUGAGGGGAAAUCUUGCAAAGUGCCUGAUGAUUUUGUUGUGCCUAAAACAGGUAAGCUAGAUGAUUCAGAUGGAGAAGGCACACCCCAUUUUGAUAGUGAUGAUGAUCUGUCAUAUGAUGAGGGCAGUGAUGUAGAGGUCACUGAAGUGAGGAGGAGGAAGACAACACACAGAGUGUUUGAUGGCACUAGUGAGAAACCUGAAUUUGAUGUUGGAAUGGCAUUCACUGACAGUAGGGAAUUCAAGCAGGCUUUGGUUAAAUAUGGGCUAGUUAAUUUCCACCACCUAAGAUUCCCUAAAGAUGAGAAGAAGAGGGUCAGUGCACAGUGCUCUUGGCCUGGAUGUCCUUGGAGCAUCUAUGGAUCAAUUAGCAGCAGGUCUGAUUGGCUACAAGUUGUGAGGUACAACAAUGAGCACACAUGCAUUCCUAGGAGGGACAACAAGCUGGUUACUAGCACAGUUAUUGCAAAAAAAUAUUUCAGGCAGAUUAGGGACAAUCCUACUUGGAGGGUGGAGAAAAUGCAAGAGGCAGUACUUGAGGAUUUGCUAGCUAAUGUGAAUCUCUCAAAGUGCAAAAGGGCUAAAAAGCUUGUCAUGGCAAAGCUCACUGAUAUGACCAAUGGUGAGUACUCUAGAGUGUUUGACUACCACCUAGAAUUAGUUAGAAGCAAUCCAGGGAGCACUGUAGCUGUUUGUUUAGAUCCAGACAUUCAUGACAAGCCAGUCUUUCAGAGAAUGUAUGUGUGCCUUGAGGGUUGCAAAAAAGGGUUUCUAGCUGGAUGCAGAAGAGUGGUGGGAUUAGAUGGCUGCUUUCUGAAAGGGGCAGUAACAGGGCAAAUUUUGUCUGCUAUUGGCAGAGAUGCUAAUAAUCAGAUGUACCCACUUGCUUGGGCCACAGUUGAGGUUGAAAGCUAUGAGUCAUGGUAUUGGUUUCUCUCACUUCUCCAAAAGGACCUGCAGAUAAGCAAUCAUGGUGAUGGAUGGGUUUUCUUAUCUGAUCAACAGAAGGGUCUUAUCAGGUCUGUUAAUGAAAUUAUUCCUGAAGCGGAGCACAGAAUGUGUGCCAGACAUAUAUAUGCAAAUUGGAGGAAGCAACAUAGGGAGAAGAAAUUGCAGAAAAUGUUUUGGGCAUGUGCCAAGUCCUCUGAUAGGAGUCAGUUCAACUACAACAAAGCCAAAUUAGCACAGAGAAGUCCAGAAGGAGCUAGAGAUAUUAUGAACACUGCACCAAAACACUGGAGUAGAGCAUACUUCAGACUAGGCUCAUGGUGUGAUUCAGUUGAGAAUAAUAUGUGUGAAUCAUUCAACAAUGCAAUUAUGAGGUCAAGGUUUUACCCUGUCAUCACAUCACAUGAGAUCAUUAGAAAGAAGGUGAUGGCACGGAUACAAGAAAACAGGGGCAAAUCAGCAACAUGGAGUGGAACCAUUUGCCCAAACAUUUUCAAGAAGUUGAAGUUGAACAUCAAGAGGUCAGCUAAUUGCCAGGUGCUUUGGAAUGGAAAAGAAGGUUUUGAAGUACAAUAA
This 2361-nucleotide ribosomal RNA is filed under the name Triticum aestivum (bread wheat). RNAcentral describes it as "partial small subunit ribosomal RNA". Lineage: Eukaryota; Viridiplantae; Streptophyta; Magnoliopsida; Poales; Poaceae. The record is from RNAcentral.